This 492-nucleotide ribosomal RNA is filed under the name uncultured bacterium. RNAcentral's name for it is "partial 16S ribosomal RNA". It matches the Rfam family "Bacterial small subunit ribosomal RNA", at positions 29 to 507 of the family's 1533-position model. The record is from RNAcentral.
AGUGAACGCUGGCGGUAGGCCUAACACAUGCAAGUCGAACGGCAGCACAGUGAGAGCUUGCUCUUACGGGUGGCGAGUGGCGGACGGGUGAGGAAUACAUCGGAAUCUACUUUUUUGUGGGGGAUAACGUAGGGAAACUUACGCUAAUACCGCAUACGACCUACGGGUGAAAGCAGGGGAUCUUCGGACCUUGCGCGAUUGAAUGAGCCGAUGUCGGAUUAGCUAGUUGGCGGGGUAAAGGCCCACCAAGGCGACGAUCCGUAGCUGGUCUGAGAGGAUGAUCAGCCACACUGGAACUGAGACUCGGUCCAGACUCCUACGGGAGGCAGCAGUGGGGAAUAUUGGACAAUGGGCGCAAGCCUGAUCCAGCCAUACCGCGUGGGUGAAGAGGGCCUUCGGGUUGUAAAGCCCUUUUGUUGGGAAAGAAAAGCAGCAGGUUAAUACCCCGCUGUUCUGACGGUACCCAAAGAAUAAGCACCGGCUAACUUCGUG